UACGGAAGGCAGCAGUGGGGAAUAUUGCACAAUGGGCGCAAAGCCUGAUGCAGCCAUGCCGCGUGUAUGAAGAAGGCCUUCGGGUUGUAAAGUACUUUCAGUCGUGAGGAAGGUGUUAAGGUUAAUAACCUUAGCAAUUGACGUUAGCGACAGAAGAAGCACCGGCUAACUCCGUGCCAGCAGCCGCGGUAAUACGGAGGGUGCGAGCGUUAAUCGGAAUUACUGGGCGUAAAGGGCACGCAGGCGGUUAAUUAAGUUGGAUGUGAAAUCCCCGGGCUUAACCUGGGAAUGGCAUUCAAGACUGGUUAGCUAGAGUCUUGUAGAGGGGGUAGAAUUCCAUGUGUAGCGGUGAAAUGCGUAGAGAUGUGGAGGAAUACCGGUGGCGAAGGCGGCCCCUGGACAAAGACUGACGCUCAUGUGCGAAAGCGUGGGGAGCAAACAGGGAUUAGAUACC
This 454-nucleotide ribosomal RNA is filed under the name uncultured bacterium. RNAcentral's name for it is "bacterial SSU rRNA". It matches the Rfam family "Bacterial small subunit ribosomal RNA", at positions 340 to 786 of the family's 1533-position model. The record is from RNAcentral.